UGUGAGACUUGGGGGCUCCAGCCUGGCUCGUGGGUCCCUGAGUGAACUGGGGAAGCCGAGGAGGAAGGGACAUCGAGUGGGAGAGGGGGACCGGGAGCCGUCACCCGGUGAGGAGAGGGCCAGCGGAAGGCGCAGCGGCACCCGCUCCCCACCUCUUCCCUGCGGUCACGCCUUGUGAUUGUGUGCGGUUGGUGUUCUAGAAUACGAAAACAGAUGUUCUUUAACUGUCUACGGUGAUGAAAGCCGUAAAGCUCUGAGGUUUCACUCUGGAAACGCGGGCCUCGGAACAGGUCAGGGAAAGCCGACGGCCCUUCGCUCCGGCGCAGUGCUGCGCGCCGCAGGCCGGGAGGGGGCGCCAUAACCCGGACUCCGACUCCGCCCCCCGAUCCCGCCCCCCUCCUCUCCUGCGCCUGCGCCUUAGGGGAGAGGAGGCGCGCGACCGCCGGUUCGGCUCAAGACUUUGUGAACGCGGCCUCAGAGUGAGCCGGUGGCGCAGUUAGGGUGGGCCUUAUUCCUGCAACAGACCACCAGAGAAGAAGGCAAGAACUCGUGGCCUGUGGCCCCCAGGGAGAAGCAGAGGCACAUAGGGGACUCUCGUGCUGAUGGGUUCGUAGACAAGCAUCGCUCCUGUCUUUGUAGGGCUCCAGCUUGAGUACAGCUGUCCUGGCCAUACCUGCCCUUUGCCCGCUGGGUAGCCCUGACUCAUUCCAAACCUGGAGCUGCCUUGCCAGUUACUGUUGUCUUUGCUGAAGCAGCGACCCCAGUGCCUUGCUAGGCGAGCGCUGCACCCCUGCAUUCCAUCCACAGCCCCUGAACAGCUUCACGGACGCUUGGUUGCUGGGAUUCAUCUGUCUUGCUGCUGCCCAAGUCCCUAUGCAUUGGCUUCUCCCAUCAACUGGAGACUUGAUAAAGAAGAUGUGGUAUUUUUAUAAAACAGAGUACUACUCAGCC
Molecule: long non-coding RNA, 951 nt
Organism: Fukomys damarensis (Damara mole-rat)
Lineage: Eukaryota; Metazoa; Chordata; Mammalia; Rodentia; Bathyergidae
Exons: 3
Source: RefSeq, a predicted model, not a curated record